RNAcentral lists this ribosomal RNA (433 nucleotides) under uncultured bacterium. RNAcentral describes it as "partial 16S ribosomal RNA". It matches the Rfam family "Bacterial small subunit ribosomal RNA", at positions 29 to 507 of the family's 1533-position model. The record is from RNAcentral.
AACGAACGCUGGCGGCAGGCCUAACACAUGCAAGUCGAGCGCGCCCUUCGGGGUGAGCGGCGGACGGGUGAGUAACGCGUGGGAACGUGCCCUUUUCUACGGAAUAGCCUCGGGAAACUGAGAGUAAUACCGUAUACGCCCUUUGGGGGAAAGAUUUAUCGGAAAAGGAUCGGCCCGCGUUGGAUUAGGUGGUUGGUGGGGUAAUGGCCUACCAAGCCGACGAUCCAUAGCUGGUUUGAGAGGAUGAUCAGCCACACUGGGACUGAGACACGGCCCAGACUCCUACGGGAGGCAGCAGUGGGGAAUCUUAGACAAUGGGGGCAACCCUGAUCUAGCCAUGCCGCGUGAGUGAUGAAGGCCUUAGGGUUGUAAAGCUCUUUCAGCUGGGAAGAUAAUGACGGUACCAGCAGAAGAAGCCCCGGCUAACUCCGUG